RNAcentral lists this ribosomal RNA (269 nucleotides) under uncultured prokaryote. RNAcentral describes it as "partial 16S ribosomal RNA". It matches the Rfam family "Bacterial small subunit ribosomal RNA", at positions 524 to 792 of the family's 1533-position model. The record is from RNAcentral.
UACGGAGGAUCCGAGCGUUAUCCGGAUUUAUUGGGUUUAAAGGGUGCGCAGGCGGGGGAUUAAGUCGGCGGUGAAAUUUUGCAGCUCAACUGUAAAAGUGCCUUCGAAACUGGUUUCCUUGAGUGUAGAUGAAGUAGGCGGAAUUUGUGGUGUAGCGGUGAAAUGCAUAGAUAUCACGAGGAACUCCGAUCGCGUAGGCAGCUUACUAGGCCAUAACUGACGCUCAUGCACGAAGGCGUGGGGAUCAAACAGGAUUAGAUACCCCUGUA